This is a long non-coding RNA of Zophobas morio, 447 nucleotides long. RefSeq lists it as uncharacterized. NCBI's taxonomy places the organism in Eukaryota, Metazoa, Arthropoda, Insecta, Coleoptera, Tenebrionidae. The transcript is spliced from 6 exons. The record is from RefSeq and is a predicted model, not a curated record.
CGCUUAUCCUCUUCCUUUCUUUUUUCGUACGAGCUUCUUUUCUUUGAUCUUAGUUGUUAAACAAUCCACUAAAAUCAAAGUUUAUAAUAAAGCCGAUAAGAAUCUACAAUGAUUCCAAGUAUGAACACCUUGAAGACUCUUUUUAAAAAAAUAGACACAACUGAUGCUAAAAGAAAAGCAAUUAUAGUUUAUGAUUAUAUUAACUCUCCUAAAGUUCGCGGCGUUGCUCGGCAGUUGGCUAUGGAUCUCGCGCCUCCUUCUCCCUCUACUUUUCCUCAGUUUAAAAAUUCGCUAACUACCGGAGUUCAAUGUCUUCUACAACGAAAAUUUCUCGAUUUAACUUUUAAAGAAUUUAUAGCCAAAACUUUGGUUGGAGUUGAAUUGUACUGCUGGUUUAAAUUUGGAGAAGUAUUAGGCCGGAAGCAUUUGAUCGGUUAUGCUGAUCGA